GAUGAACGCUGGCGGCGUGCCUAAUACAUGCAAGUCGAGCGAACGGACGAGAAGCUUGCUUCUCUGAUGUUAGCGGCGGACGGGUGAGUAACACGUGGAUAACCUACCUAUAAGACUGGGAUAACUUCGGGAAACCGGAGCUAAUACCGGAUAAUAUUUUGAACCGCAUGGUUCAAAAGUGAAAGACGGUCUUGCUGUCACUUAUAGAUGGAUCCGCGCUGCAUUAGCUAGUUGGUAAGGUAACGGCUUACCAAGGCAACGAUGCAUAGCCGACCUGAGAGGGUGAUCGGCCACACUGGAACUGAGACACGGUCCAGACUCCUACGGGAGGCAGCAGUAGGGAAUCUUCCGCAAUGGGCGAAAGCCUGACGGAGCAACGCCGCGUGAGUGAUGAAGGUCUUCGGAUCGUAAAACUCUGUUAUUAGGGAAGAACAUAUGUGUAAGUAACUGUGCACAUCUUGACGGUACCUAAUCAGAAAGCCACGGCUAACUACGUGCCAGCAGCCGCGGUAAUACGUAGGUGGCAAGCGUUAUCCGGAAAUAUUGGGCGUAAAGCGCGCGUAGGCGGUUUUUUAAGUCUGAUGUGAAAGCCCACGGCUCAACCGUGGAGGGUCAUUGGAAACUGGAAAACUUGAGUGCAGAAGAGGAAAGUGGAAUUCCAUGUGUAGCGGUGAAAUGCGCAGAGAUAUGGAGGAACACCAGUGGCGAAGGCGACUUUCUGGUCUGUAACUGACGCUGAUGUGCGAAAGCGUGGGGAUCAAACAGGAUUAGAUACCCUGGUAGUCCACGCCGUAAACGAUGAGUGCUAAGUGUUAGGGGGUUUCCGCCCCUUAGUGCUGCAGCUAACGCAUUAAGCACUCCGCCUGGGGAGUACGACCGCAAGGUUGAAACUCAAAGGAAUUGACGGGGACCCGCACAAGCGGUGGAGCAUGUGGUUUAAUUCGAAGCAACGCGAAGAACCUUACCAAAUCUUGACAUCCUUUGACAACUCUAGAGAUAGAGCCUUCCCCUUCGGGGGACAAAGUGACAGGUGGUGCAUGGUUGUCGUCAGCUCGUGUCGUGAGAUGUUGGGUUAAGUCCCGCAACGAGCGCAACCCUUAAGCUUAGUUGCCAUCAUUAAGUUGGGCACUCUAAGCUGACUGCCGGUGACAAACCGGAGGAAGGUGGGGAUGACGUCAAAUCAUCAUGCCCCUUAUGAUUUGGGCUACACACGUGCUACAAUGGACAAUACAAAGGGCAGCGAAACCGCGAGGUCAAGCAAAUCCCAUAAAGUUGUUCUCAGUUCGGAUUGUAGUCUGCAACUCGACUACAUGAAGCUGGAAUCGCUAGUAAUCGUAGAUCGGCAUGCUACGGUGAAUACGUUCCCGGGUCU
This 1372-nucleotide ribosomal RNA is filed under the name uncultured bacterium. RNAcentral's name for it is "bacterial SSU rRNA". It matches the Rfam family "Bacterial small subunit ribosomal RNA", at positions 28 to 1381 of the family's 1533-position model. The record is from RNAcentral.